Molecule: long non-coding RNA, 668 nt
Organism: Drosophila mojavensis
Lineage: Eukaryota; Metazoa; Arthropoda; Insecta; Diptera; Drosophilidae
Exons: 2
Source: RefSeq, a predicted model, not a curated record
GCCAAAGAAACCAAGCGCGCGUCAGCGGCUGUUAUCGAGAGUUGACAAAGAGUCUUAACAGCGGUGGGCAGCGCAGGGGGGUAGGCACUGGCUGAUGUGCUUGUGAAAAGAUGCGACGCCAAAUGCGAAUCAAGUUUGCACCUUGGUUGAAAAUAAAACAAAAGCAAACCAAACUAAACGAAACGAAAUGAGAAGAGACGAAACGCUAUGGUAGGCAACAAAAAUACGCAACGAAACGAAACGAAAUGAAAUGAAACACAAAACGCGAGACUAAACAAGUUCCCAAAGAGCAUUAGAACAACUGAUAAUGACAAUAACGAUAAUGAUAAUGAAGAUGAUGAUGAUGUUGAUGAUGCGCAGCAAUUGGUUUCUGGCUGGCAUACCAAACCUUUUCGAUUACUUGGGAGAGAAGGAGACGACAAACUGACAAACUCGUAUUAUAAAUUUAUUGUGUAAUGACUGCAAUGACUAUCCAACAACAACAACAACAACUGUGACAAUAUAUGAAGCAAGAAUGUCUGAAAGUUGAGUAAAAAGUGAACUAAGCCGUAAAUACCCUGUAGAAUAAGAUGUUUAAAAUUUGCCCAAGAACAUAAUAAAAAUAAUGAAGAAGACAAUAAGUUAUAAUAAUAUAGAAUGUAAUUCUAGUUACCCAUUAAAUUAAUACA